CACCAGCGCCCGACAGAUGGGGCUUUAAAGACAGAAAAUUUUAUCAAGACCUCCACAAACCAGACCCCAGAUUCCCUCAAUCGUUGAGUGAGUCCCGGGACUCGCUCCACAGGGCCAGGAUGUUCAGGGACCUAGGCUGAGCUGUCAGUGUGAGGUGACUGAGUGGGAUGUGAGGUGUCUGAGUGGGGUGUGAGGUGUCUGAGUGGGGUGUGAGGUGCCUGAGUGGGGUGUGAGGUGUCUGAGUGGGGUGUGAGGUGACUGAGUGGGGUGUGAGGUGACUGAGUGGGGUGUGAGGUGGGGACUGGAGGGGCUGCAGUUCAGGUCACCCUCAGCCUGAUACCCAGAGGAGCUUAAAGGAGUUCCCAGGGGGAGGGUAAACACACAGGGUGUCUGAGGGUGUGUCCCUGUCUGUGCAUAACAGCCAAGGAGGCCUCAGAAGACAGGGAUCCUGGGCCUUGGAAAUUUGUCCUGAAGGAAGGCUGCCUGGAAAACUUCCCAGGGCCUGGCCGGGCAGGAGCAGGCUUUGAUUGACAGGAGGCAAAACACUGACGCCAAGUCUACCUGGGAUUGGCUCUGGCCUCCAGCUGCGCCCACACCUACCUUAGCAGGAAGGAAACUUUGGAGCCAACCUUGCCCAGACUGCCCGGCCUGGACUGAAAACUGCUAAAACACACGUGGUCAUCCACUCAGCAGGUCCUCUCCCACACCAAGUGGGCUGGCCGGUUUCUAGAUCCUUCAUAAGUGAGGGGUUGUGAAGAGGGUGUGCCGUGCCCUCCUAAGGGGGCAGGAAGGGGUCACAGCCCAGGCACUCCGAGUGGAAAGGGAGAGAAAAGCCUGCUGUUUGUCCAGGAGCUGAACAGACACUGGAGCUCUUGUCCUGGGGGGAGCGGGGGAGGCCCUGUGGCCAG
RNAcentral lists this long non-coding RNA (908 nucleotides) under Cricetulus griseus (Chinese hamster). Its description in RNAcentral is "lncRNA (ENSCGRG00015033549.1)". The record is from RNAcentral. Lineage: Eukaryota; Metazoa; Chordata; Mammalia; Rodentia; Cricetidae.